Molecule: ribosomal RNA, 809 nt
Filed under: uncultured bacterium
Lineage: Bacteria
Description: bacterial SSU rRNA
Rfam family: Bacterial small subunit ribosomal RNA
Source: RNAcentral
AGAGUUUGAUCAUGGCUCAGAACGAACGCUGGCGGGUGGAUAAGACAUGCAAGUCGGACGGGAACUUUCGUUGUAGCAAUACGAUGGAAGUUUCAGUGGCGAACGGGUGCGUAACACGUGGGCAAUUUGCCUUAAAGUGUGGGAUAGCUCGGCGAAAGCCGGAUUAAUACCGCAUGUGGCUACUGGAGACAUCUUCGGGACGCUAAAGGUGGCGCAAGCUACCGCUUUUUGAGGAGCCCGCGGCCUAUCAGCUUGUUGGCGAGGUAACGGCUCACCAAGGCGUUGACGGGUAGCUGGUCUGAGAGGACGACCAGCCACACUGGGACUGAGACACGGCCCAGACACCUACGGGUGGCAGCAGUCGAGAAUUUUUGACAAUGGGGGAAACCCUGAUCGAGCGACGCCGCGUGGAGGAUGAAGGUCUUCGGGUUGUAAACUCCUGCCAUUUGGGAACAAGGCGGAUGUAUUAACUGUACAUGCGUUGAUAGUACCAGAAGAGGAAGAGACGGCUAACUCUGUGCCAGCAGCCGCGGUAAUACAGAGGUCUCAAGCGUUGUUCGGAUUCAUUGGGCGUAAAGGGUGUGUAGGUGGCGCGCUAAGUCGGGUGUGAAAUUUCGGAGCUUAACUCCGAAACUGCAUUCGAUACUGGCGUGCUUGAGGACUGGAGAGGAGACUGGAAUUUACGGUGUAGCAGUGAAAUGCGUAGAUAUCGUAAGGAAGACCAGUGGCGAAGGCGGGUCUCUGGACAGUUCCUGACACUGAGACACGAAGGCCAGGGGAGCAAACGGGAUUAGAUACCCUAGUAGUCC